RNAcentral lists this ribosomal RNA (495 nucleotides) under uncultured bacterium. Its description in RNAcentral is "partial 16S ribosomal RNA". It matches the Rfam family "Bacterial small subunit ribosomal RNA", at positions 28 to 507 of the family's 1533-position model. The record is from RNAcentral.
GACGAACGCUGGCGGCGUGCCUAAUACAUGCAAGUAGAACGCUGAAGGAGGAGCUUGCUUCUCUGGAUGAGUUGCGAACGGGUGAGUAACGCGUAGGUAACCUGCCUUGUAGUGGGGGAUAACUAUUGGAAACGAUAGCUAAUACCGCAUAAUAGCAGUUGUUGCAUGAUAACUGUUUGAAAGUUGCAAUUGCACCGCUACCAGAUGGACCUGCUUUGUAUUAGCUAGUUGGUGGGGUAACGGCUCACUAAGGCGAGGAUACAUACCCGACCGGAGAGGGGGGUCGGCCAGACUGGGACUGAGACACGGCCCAGACUCCUACGGGAGGGAGCCGUAGGGAAUCUUCGGCAAUGGACGGAAGUCUGACCGAGCAACGCCGCGGGAGGGAAGAAGGUUGUCGGAUCGGAAAGCUCGGUUGUAAGAGAAGAACGAGUGUGAGAGUGGAAAGUUCACACUGUGACGGUAUCUGACCAGAAAGGGACGGCUAACUACGUG